AAGUCGUAACAAGGUUUCCGUAGGUGAACCUGCGGAAGGAUCAUCAAUAAUCCAAAUGAUUCAUGACUUAAAAAAUCAUGAAUCAAACCUUCUUGUGCAUCGUUUAAUGUUUAUUAGUUGGGAGAUUAAUUUGAGGAUGUCUACUUUUUUAAAUAAUAAUUAUUAUUUAAAAUUGUAGUCAAACUGACUCCCAACUGAUUAAUUUUAUACAAACUAUUUUAUAUUUAAAGUUGUUUAUUUUACAGGAAACUGUACUAAUAUAAAUACAACUUAUAGCGAUGGAUCUCUAGGCUCUG
Molecule: unclassified non-coding RNA, 296 nt
Filed under: fungal sp.
Lineage: Eukaryota; Fungi
Description: partial internal transcribed spacer region
Rfam family: Eukaryotic small subunit ribosomal RNA (bases 1-46)
Source: RNAcentral